UUUAUGGGGUGACUGCGUACCUUUUGUAUAAUGGGUCAGCGACUUAUAUUCUGUAGCAAGGUUAACCGAAUAGGGGAGCCGAAGGGAAACCGAGUCUUAACUGGGCGUUAAGUUGCAGGGUAUAGACCCGAAACCCGGUGAUCUAGCCAUGGGCAGGUUGAAGGUUGGGUAACACUAACUGGAGGACCGAACCGACUAAUGUUGAAAAAUUAGCGGAUGACUUGUGGCUGGGGGUGAAAGGCCAAUCAAACCGGGAGAUAGCUGGUUCUCCCCGAAAGCUAUUUAGGUAGCGCCUCGUGAAUUCAUCUCCGGGGGUAGAGCACUGUUUCGGCAAGGGGGUCAUCCCGACUUACCAACCCGAUGCAAACUGCGAAUACCGGAGAAUGUUAUCACGGGAGACACACGGCGGGUGCUAACGUCCGUCGUGAAGAGGGAAACAACCCAGACCGCCAGCUAAGGUCCCAAAGUCAUGGUUAAGUGGGAAACGAUGUGGGAAGGCCCAGACAGCCAGGAUGUUGGCUUAGAAGCAGCCAUCAUUUAAAGAAAGCGUAAUAGCUCACUGGUCGAGUCGGCCUGCGCGGAAGAUGUAACGGGGCUAAACCAUGCACCGAAGCUGCGGCAGCGACACUAUGUGUUGUUGGGUAGGGGAGCGUUCUGUAAGCCUGCGAAGGUGUACUGUGAGGUAUGCUGGAGGUAUCAGAAGUGCGAAUGCUGACAUAAGUAACGAUAAAGCGGGUGAAAAGCCCGCUCGCCGGAAGACCAAGGGUUCCUGUCCAACGUUAAUCGGGGCAGGGUGAGUCGACCCCUAAGGCGAGGCCGAAAGGCGUAGUCGAUGGGAAACAGGUUAAUAUUCCUGUACUUGGUGUUACUGCGAAGGGGGGACGGAGAAGGCUAUGUUGGCCGGGCGACGGUUGUCCCGGUUUAAGCGUGUAGGCUGGUUUUCCAGGCAAAUCCGGAAAAUCAAGGCUGAGGCGUGAUGACGAGGCACUACGGUGCUGAAGCAACAAAUGCCCUGCUUCCAGGAAAAGCCUCUAAGCAUCAGGUAACAUCAAAUCGUACCCCAAACCGACACAGGUGGUCAGGUAGAGAAUACCAAGGCGCUUGAGAGAACUCGGGUGAAGGAACUAGGCAAAAUGGUGCCGUAACUUCGGGAGAAGGCACGCUGAUAUGUAGGUGAAGUCCCUCGCGGAUGGAGCUGAAAUCAGUCGAAGAUACCAGCUGGCUGCAACUGUUUAUUAAAAACACAGCACUGUGCAAACACGAAAGU
RNAcentral lists this ribosomal RNA (1267 nucleotides) under Escherichia coli. RNAcentral's name for it is "partial 23S ribosomal RNA". It matches the Rfam family "Bacterial large subunit ribosomal RNA", at positions 585 to 1838 of the family's 2925-position model. The record is from RNAcentral. Lineage: Bacteria; Pseudomonadati; Pseudomonadota; Gammaproteobacteria; Enterobacterales; Enterobacteriaceae.